This 2655-nucleotide long non-coding RNA is filed under the name Mus musculus (house mouse). RNAcentral's name for it is "long non-coding RNA chrX:157431625-157434280". The record is from RNAcentral. Lineage: Eukaryota; Metazoa; Chordata; Mammalia; Rodentia; Muridae.
GGUGAUCCUGAUAGCAGGGACACAGGCGAGAUGGUCCUGCCACUUGUCUGCUGUGGUAACAUAGGCAAGAGAGAGAUGUCCCCUUUUGCCCCUUGACACCUACAGCAGACAGGAGAACAGGCCCUACGCCUUACCUGGUCAGCACAGUAGAGCAAGCCCUGGCUGUGGGGGUUGGAGGUGAGCUGGCCUCCAGGUUGAGCGUAGGAGAGCUGGCCCUGCUACUUGUCUGCCUUGUAGUGACAGGGGUGAAGGUGAGAUGUGCCCGUGCCCUCACCCCUUGACACCUAUGGCACGUAGGAGAGUUGGUCCUGCCCCUUGCUAGCAGUGGCAUUGCACAGUCCAGCUGGGGCAGGGUAGGAGAGCUUGUCCUGAUGGUGUAGAUACAGGAGAAUUGGUGCAGCUCUGAUACCUAUCAGGCCCAGAUCCAGGGCUAUAAAUUGGCCAUCCCAACAUCUAUCCCAUCGAUGAACUGCUAGAGUGUGUGAAGGUUCUGGACCUACAUAUCCAAAACUACAGGAUAUCCCGGAGGAGUCCCAGUGAGGAUCCAGUAUUUCUAGUAUAGCAGAAGCCAGAGGCUUAGUACCAAACCAAGUCAUUGUAAUGGACAUUUGCAAGCAAAGAAGUGUGGGAAAAAGGAUAUAGUGUGAGAGGAACAGUGACACACUACAGUUUCCACAAGAUGUUUUUCCUGUUGGGGAGGAGGUUGCAAGGGUGGGGGGCAAGUAUGAAGGUGGGAGAUGAGUGGAACUGGGAUGAAUGAUGUGAAGUUCACAAAGAACCAAUGAAAAUAGUUGUUAAGUUGGCACUGAAGAAUCCCAGUGCUGGGGAAGUGGGGAAAGGAGGGUCUCUGACGCUGACUACUCAGUCUGUCAUGUCUAAUCAAUUGCUGUGACCAUAUCUAGGAUUUAUCAGCUUUUCAUGUGAGGUAUGAAUAUUCCCUAACUUCUUGUUGCUAAAUUUUCUUCCCAGGGGAGGGAACAUAAACAUCUACCCUUCCUCCUAAGGUUCCAAUGACAAACCAAGGACAAUUCCAUUAGAGUUCACUCUGAGGAUCUAAUGAAUUUAUUGGGCCUCCUUGCCGUAUAGAAUGUUGGUGCUCCCCCAAUGCAAAAAGCCACACUGGAAAUUCUCCACACAUCAGGAAUGAUGGCUUUCCAAUAACCACAUCAAUGAACCUUCCUCGUCUAGGUUCCCCAACCUAUAUAGUCUAGGCCUUCCCUGAGGCCAUGUGUACUUAGGGCAGUGCUGCACACAAGUAGGGAGGUGCUGAUACUCAAUGCGGGUCUCAUGACCGGUCAUUUUCCUCUAUGAGGAAGUGCAACAAACACAGUCGGAAUGAUUUCUACUAACUCUGAACUCCCAAAGACAGCAAGCAGUUGCUUGGCUUAGAGGAUAGUUCUGUACAGCGCUUCUCCAUUGCUAUUUCCCCAGUAAUGUUAUUGUAGCAAACUGUUUUUUCCAUGAAGACGUUUACAUUCAUCAUCUAAAGUUUGAAAGCUUUGGCAUUUAGGCUUGAUUAAAUGCCUUUGUUCCAGCAAAGAGAAAGCCAUCUAUCUACUCAUUUAGUUGUUCCUUUCCUUUACCAACUGAAACAAACUGCCCAUUACUCUGUUAGCUUGAACUGCCUACUAAGCCAGUUACUGGAUCUUAAAUAGGCAAAUCUUUAGACCUAUCAUCUAUAUUUUAAUACAUCCCAACAGCAGCCUCCCCUCCUCCUCCCUACUCCUUUUAGUCCCCAACCCACCUCCCCUGUCCCCUCCCCAGAUCCAUGUUAUUGAGCACUAACACUAAGCCCGCCAACCCCAGAUAACGUGCAAGUCAGCAGGGCAUGAUCUUGAGUUUCUAAGAGCUCACACAGCUUUGUAAUACAAAUAUCUAACCUUAACCAAUUUUAUCGUACAAAUGGUAGACUGCCCUGCUCUCCCUUAAAGGAGCCCUUCCUAGACAGUCAAGAGCAUCUACCAUCCAUCUUACUGCCUUCAUUUAGUUAUCUUCUAACUUGGUGUUGUGGAGAAACUAAAGGAAAAAGACUGGGCAUUUGGGAGGAAUGAAAAUAACAGGUUAGUGAUUGUGAAAUCUUAGGACUUUGUGAAUGUUAUUCUUUGGAUUCUAAUGCUUGAUUUAUGGUAUAUUUUAAGAUCUGAUACUUGCUAAUGAUAACAAAAGAUAAUCCCUGAGCAAUUACUUUGUGCCAAGCACCAACUGAUACAUAGAUUAUGUCACUGGAGUGAACAAAUCUGGACAGAAGUUCUGCUGUCAUUCCUCCCCCAUGGAUGCACACACAAAUGGCCAAGGUCUGACCAGAGUCAGGAUUCAGGCCAACACUUUGGGUCAAGAGCUUCUGCUUAAAACUACUUACACACCCUACAUCCCAGGAAAAGUCUUUGCAGGAGCUGGUGUCGCAUGGCAUAACUGCAGUGUGUGCCCGGAGUGCUUUUGGUUUGGGGUUUCUUGUCACAUUUCCAUAUAUGUAUGUAAAAUGUAAUUUCAAUACUGUCACCCCUCAUUACCCUCUCAUCUUCCAUUCCCUUUCCACUGAUGAGUGUGGGGAAGGGAGAUGUGGGAUGACCCUUCCACACUGUUGGUGGGAAUAAACUGAAAAAAGAGGAGUGUAAACUGAGGCAGCCACUACGGAAAUUUGUAUGAAGGGUCCUC